AAUUGGUGCCAACAUAGAAAUAUGAAGGUGAAAAGGGAAUCAGGUGAAAAACCUGGACUGUUUCCGCAGCUGUAAGUUCCCCGUUGUUUUGUACAUCCCCUGUCACUGUUCUUCGGAAUGGGAAGACGGUACAAAACGGAACGAGUCAGAAGACCUGCCAACUCCAAU
Molecule: non-coding RNA, 168 nt
Filed under: bovine gut metagenome
Source: RNAcentral